UUAAAUAGCUUAUAUAGAGCGUAAUAUUGAAGAUAUUAAGGAAACUUGGAGUUUUUAAAUAUU
Molecule: transfer RNA, 63 nt
Filed under: Autocrates maqueti
Lineage: Eukaryota; Metazoa; Arthropoda; Insecta; Coleoptera; Trictenotomidae
Description: tRNA-Phe
Source: RNAcentral